Molecule: ribosomal RNA, 253 nt
Filed under: uncultured bacterium
Lineage: Bacteria
Description: partial 16S ribosomal RNA
Rfam family: Bacterial small subunit ribosomal RNA
Source: RNAcentral
UACGGAGGGAGCUAGCGUUGUUCGGAAAUACUGGGCGUAAAGCGCACGUAGGCGGCGCAGCAAGUCAGGGGUGAAAUCCCGGGGCUCAACCUCGGAACUGCCCUUGAAACUGCAGUGCUAGAAUCUUGGAGAGGCGAGUGGAAUUCCGAGUGUAGAGGUGAAAUUCGUAGAUAUUCGGAAGAACACCAGUGGCGAAGGCGGCUCACUGGACCGGUAUUGACGCUGAGGUGCGAAAGCGUGGGGAGCAAACAGG